This 697-nucleotide ribosomal RNA is filed under the name Feramyces austinii. RNAcentral describes it as "eukaryotic LSU rRNA". It matches the Rfam family "Eukaryotic large subunit ribosomal RNA", at positions 121 to 667 of the family's 3401-position model. Lineage: Eukaryota; Fungi; Neocallimastigomycota; Neocallimastigomycetes; Neocallimastigales; Neocallimastigaceae. The record is from RNAcentral.
UCUUCAAGGUUCUACCUUGACGAAUUGUAGUUUAAAGAAGUGUUUUCUGUUAGAGGAGUGGCAAAAGUUCUUUGGAAUAGGACAUCAUAGAGGGUGAGAAUCCCGUAUUUGGUCAUUCUUUCUAGCUGUGUGAUACACUUUCAAAGAGUCGGAUUGUUUGGGAAUGCAGUCCAAAAUGGGUGGUAAAUUUCAUCUAAGGCUAAAUAUUGGCGAGAGACCGAUAGCGAACAAGUACCGUGAGGGAAAGAUGAAAAGAACUUUGAAAAGAGAGUUAAACAGUACGUGAAAUUGUCAAAAGGGAAGCGUUUGACACCAGUGUUGUUUUUCCGAAAAUCAAUUGUGCCUGGCUGGAUUUUGUAGGAGUUUGACCUUAUCAGCUUCUUCUGCUUUUUUCCGGUCUGGUGCAAUGCACUUUUCGGUUAACAAGUCAACAUCAAUUUCUUUUGUUGUAAAAGGGUAAUUGGAAGGUGGCUUUCUUUUCGGAGAAAGUGUUUAUAGCCUUUUACCUCUACAAUCGGAGAGAUUGAGGUCUGCAGCGUAGAUCCUUCGGGGUUAGAUACAUUUGUGCUAAGUUAUAGCCCUGUAUAGACAACUUGUUGACUAUACUCGGUCGUGUAGCUUACUCGCUUAUGCUAUUUUACCUACGCUUAGGAUGUUGACAAAAUGGUUUUAAACGACCCGUCUUGAAACACGGACC